This 187-nucleotide unclassified non-coding RNA is filed under the name Gomphrena martiana. RNAcentral describes it as "ITS2". Lineage: Eukaryota; Viridiplantae; Streptophyta; Magnoliopsida; Caryophyllales; Amaranthaceae. The record is from RNAcentral.
CAUAGCGUCUCACUUAUCCCCCCUAAGAUUUGGGGAUAGGUGAGGAUGAUGGCCUCCCGUGUCACACCUGGCGUGGAUGGCUUAAAAAAGGAGCCUUGGGUUACUAGAUGCCGUGGCGAUUGGUGGUAUAAUCAUCUCGUUGCGGGAUAAGUAGCUUAACUGGCUCGUAGGACCCUUGAUAACCUUU